ACUCCUACGAGAGGCAGCAGUGGGGAAUAUUGCACAAUGGGGGAAACCCUGAUGCAGCCAUGCCGCGUGUGUGAAGAAGGCCUUCGGGUUGUAAAGCACUUUCAGUAGGGAGGAAAGGGUGAGUCUUAAUACGGCUCAUCUGUGACGUUACCUACAGAAGAAGGACCGGCUAACUCCGUGCCAGCAGCCGCGGUAAUACGGAGGGUCCGAGCGUUAAUCGGAAUUACUGGGCGUAAAGCGUGCGCAGGCGGUUUGUUAAGCGAGAUGUGAAAGCCCUGGGCUCAACCUAGGAAUAGCAUUUCGAACUGGCGAACUAGAGUCUUGUAGAGGGGGGUAGAAUUCCAGGUGUAGCGGUGAAAUGCGUAGAGAUCUGGAGGAAUACCGGUGGCGAAGGCGGCCCCCUGGACAAAGACUGACGCUCAUGCACGAAAGCGUGGGAAGCAAACAGGAUUAGAUACCCUGGUAGUCCACGCCGUAAACGAUGUCUACUCGGAGUUUGGUGUCUUGAACACUGGGCUCUCAAGCUAACGCAUUAAGUAGACCGCCUGGGGAGUACGGCCGCAAGGUUAAAACUCAAAUGAAUUGACGGGGGCCCGCACAAGCGGUGGAGCAUGUGGUUUAAUUCGAUGCAACGCGAAGAACCUUACCUACUCUUGACAUCCACGGAAGAGACCAGAGAUGGACUUGUGCCUUCGGGAACCGUGAGACAGGUGCUGCAUGGCUGUCGUCAGCUCGUG
RNAcentral lists this ribosomal RNA (737 nucleotides) under uncultured Shewanella sp. Its description in RNAcentral is "bacterial SSU rRNA". It matches the Rfam family "Bacterial small subunit ribosomal RNA", at positions 335 to 1064 of the family's 1533-position model. The record is from RNAcentral. Lineage: Bacteria; Pseudomonadati; Pseudomonadota; Gammaproteobacteria; Alteromonadales; Shewanellaceae.